This 208-nucleotide ribosomal RNA is filed under the name uncultured bacterium. RNAcentral describes it as "partial 16S ribosomal RNA". It matches the Rfam family "Bacterial small subunit ribosomal RNA", at positions 568 to 774 of the family's 1533-position model. The record is from RNAcentral.
CGUGUAGGCGGGAGGGUACGUCCGUCGCUGAAAUCCCCCGGCUCAACCGGGGAACGGGCGCGGAUACGGCCUUCCUGGAGGGGCGUAGGGGGACCUGGAACUUCCGGUGGAGCGGUGAAAUGCGUUGAGAUCGGAAGGAACGCCCGUGGCGAAAGCGAGGUCCUGGACGCCUACUGACGCUGAGACGCGAAAGCCAGGGGAGCGAACG